GGCCUCAAAGAAUGAGCACUGUAGAUCUCACAAUGGGUGAGUUAAGAGCCUCACAAUGGUGAACUACAAACCCCACAAUGACAAGCUGUGGGCCUUACAGUGGUGUGCUGUGGAUGCCACAGUAACAGGAUGGGAGUCUCAUAACAGCCUCUUCUUUAUUUCUGCAUCCAUUGAUGGACGCCUAGAUAGUUCUGUGACUUGGCUAUUGUCAGGAAUGCCACAAACAGCAUAUCCAUGCAGAACUCAGCUUCUUUGGCCUUCUGAUAUGGACUGAACACCAGUGGCCUUCCAGGAAUCCUCCAGGCCCCUGGUGCCACACUGGGAGUGCCGAGGCACCCCACUUCAUGAGGAGCUCCAGGGUUCUUGAUCUCUCCAGUGUUGAGGACAACAGUACUGUGUAAGCCAUUCCAAUAAAUAUCCUUUUUACUAUA
Molecule: non-coding RNA, 431 nt
Organism: Peromyscus maniculatus bairdii (prairie deer mouse)
Lineage: Eukaryota; Metazoa; Chordata; Mammalia; Rodentia; Cricetidae
Source: RefSeq, a predicted model, not a curated record